Molecule: ribosomal RNA, 553 nt
Filed under: uncultured archaeon
Lineage: Archaea
Description: bacterial SSU rRNA
Rfam family: Archaeal small subunit ribosomal RNA
Source: RNAcentral
CGGGGUGCACCAGGCGCGAAAACUCUACAAUGCAGGCAACUGCGAUAGGGGAACAUCGAGUGAUCCUCAUAUUGGGGGUCUGUCCACUCGCCUAAAAAGCGGGUGUUAGCAAGGGCCGGGCAAGACCGGUGCCAGCCGCCGCGGUAAUACCGGCGGCUCGAGUGGUGGCCGAUAUUAUUGAGUCUAAAGGGUCCGUAGCCGGCUUUGCUAGUCUCUCGGGAAAUCCAGCGGCUUAACCGUUGGUCGUCCGGGGGGUACUACAUUGCUUGGGACUGGGAGAGGUAGGAGGUACUCAGGGGGUAGGAGUGAAAUCCUGUAAUCCUUUGGGGACCACCGGUGGCGAAGGCGUCCUACCAGAACAGGUCCGACGGUGAGGGACGAAAGCUAGGGGCACGAACCGGAUUAGAUACCCGGGUAGUCCUAGCCGUAAACGAUGCUCGCUAGGUGUCACAACAGUCGUGAACUGUUGUGGUGCCGUAGGGAAGCCGUGAAGCGAGCCACUUGGGAAGUACGACCGCAAGGUUGAAACUUAAAGGAAUUGGCGGGGGAGCAC